Molecule: non-coding RNA, 3352 nt
Organism: Lasallia pustulata
Lineage: Eukaryota; Fungi; Ascomycota; Lecanoromycetes; Umbilicariales; Umbilicariaceae
Source: Rfam
UGACCUUGGAUCAGGUAGGGAUACCCGUUGAACUUAAGCAUAUCAAUAAGCAGAGGAGAAGAAACCAACCAGGAUUGCGCCAGUAACGGCGAGUGAAGCGGCAACAGCUCAAAUUUGGAAUCCGGGCCCCCAGGGCCCAAGUUAUAAUUUGCUGAGGAUGCUUCAGAUGCGGCGCCGGUCUAAGUUCCUUGGAACAGGACAUCACAGAGGGUGAGAAUCCCGUACGUGACUGGCGGCCUGGCUCAGGUGAAGCUCCUUCGACGAGUCGAGUUGUUUGGGAAUGCAGGUCCAAAUGGGUGGUAAAUUCCAUCUAAAGCUAAAUACCGGCCAGAGACCGAUAGCGCACAAGUAGAGUGAUCAAAAGAUGAAAAGCACUUUGGAAAGAGAGUUAAACCAUAUGUGAAAUUGUUGAAAGGGAAGCGCUUGCAGCCAGACUUGCCUGCGGGCAAUCAGCUGCCCUUGGGGGCGGUGCACUUGCCCGCAGCCAGGCCAGCAUUGGUUUGGGCAGCUGGACAAAGGCCCCAGGAAUGUGGCUCCCCCUGGGGAGUGUUACAGCCCGGGACGUCAUACGGCCCGCCUGGACUGAGGACCGUACUCCGGCAAGGAUGCUGGCGUAAUGGCUGUCAGCGACCCGUCUUAAAACACGGACCACGGAGUCUAACAUCUAUACGAGUGUUUGGGCAUCAAACCCCGGCGUAGAAUGAAGGUGAACAGAGGUGGGAACCCCCCACCCGGUGCACCAUCGACCAAUCCUGAUGCCUUUGGAUGGAUUUGAGUAAGAGCAUAGCCGUUAGGACCCAAAAGAUGGUGAAUUAUGCCUGGAUAGGGUGAAGCUAGAGGAAACUCUGGUGGAGGCUUGCAGCGGUUCUGACAUGCAAAACAAUCGUCAAAUUUGGGUAUAGGGGCAAAAGACUAAUUGAACCAUCUAGUAGCUGGUUCCUGCCAAAGUUUCCCUCAGGAUAGCAGUAGCGUGUUCGGUUUUAUGAGGUAAAGCAAAUGAUUAGAGGCCUUGGGGUUGGAACAACCUUAACCUAUUCUCAAACUUUAAAUAUGUAAGAAGUCCUUGUUGCUCUGUUGAACGGGGACCAUUGAAUGCAUCAUUACUAGUGGGCCAUUUUUGGUAAGCAGAACUGGCAAUGCGGGAUGAACCAAAUACGAGGUUAAGGUGCCAGAAUGCACGCUCAUCAGACACCACAAAAGGUGUUAGUUCAUCCAGAUAGCAGGACGGUGGCCAUGGAAGUUGGAACCCGCUAAGGAGUGUAUAAAAACUCACCAGCCAAAUAAACUAGCCCUGAAAAUGGAUGGCGUUCAAGCGUGCUACCCAUACCUUGCCGCCGGGGUAGAAACAAUGCCCUGGCAAGUAAGCAGGCAUGGGGGUCAGUGACAAAGCCUUGGGAGCAAUCCUGGGUCAAACGGUCCCUAGUGCAGAUCUUGGUGGUAGUAGCAAAUACUCAAAUAAGAACUUUGAGGACUGAAGUGGGGAAAGGUUCCAUGUGAACAGCAGUUAGACAUGGGUUAGUUAGCCUUAAGAGAUAGGGAAGCUCCGUUUGAAAGUGCGCACUCGUGCGCCACUCCUUAAAAGGGAAGCUGGUUAACAUUCUGGCACCUGGAUGUGGAUUCUCCACGGCAACAUAACUGAAUGUGGAGAUGCCAGUGGGAGCCCCGGGAACAGUUCUCUUUUCUUCUUAACGGCCAAUCACCCUGAAAUUGGUUUGUCCAGAGCUAGGGUUUGACAGCCGGCAGAGCCCCGCACCUUUGCAGGAUCUGGUGCGCUCUUGACGGCCCUUGAAAAUCCGCAGGAAGGAUUAGUUUUCAUACCAGGUCAUACCCAUAACCGCAGCAGGUCUCCAAGGUGAAAAGCCUCUAGUUGAUAGAAUAAUACAGGUAAGGGAAGUCGGCAAAAUAGAUCCAUAACUUCAGGAAAAGGAUUGGCUCUAAGGGUUGGGUGCGUUUGGCCUUAGGAGGAUGCCUCCAGAGCAGGCAGGCACUAGCAGGGCAACCGGCCGGCGCCUGUCAGCAUCGGUGUGCGGACGCCUUUGGCAGGUCUCAGCUGUCUGGCGCACGCUUAACAAGUGAUUUAGAACUGGUCCGGACAAGGGGAAUCUGACUGUCUAAUUAAAACAUAGCACUACAAUGGCCAGCAAGUGGUGUUAAAGCAAUGUGAUUUCUGCCCAGUGCUCUGAAUGUCAAAGUGAAGAAAUUCAAGUGCGGGUAAACUGUGGGGGUAACUAUGACUCUCUUAAGGUAGCCAAAUGCCUCAUCAUCUAAUUAGUGACGUGUAUUAAAUGAUUAACAAGAUUCCCACUGUCCCUACCUAUUAUCUAGCAAAACUACAGCCAAGGGAACGGGCUUGGCGGAAUCAGCGGGGAAAGAAGACCCUGUUGAGCUUGACUCUAGUUUGACAUUGUGAAAAGAUAUAGGGGGUGUAGAAUAGUGGGAGCUCUGGCGCCGGUGAAAUACCACUACCCUUAUUGCUUUUUUACUUAUUCAGUAAACCAGAAAUGGGUGUUGCCGCCCAACUUCUGGUGUCAAGGUCCCCCGCAGGCCAAUCCGGGUUGAAGACAUUGUCAGGUGGGGAGUUUAGCUGGGGCGGCACAUCUGUUAAACCAUAACGCAGGUGUCCUAAGGGGGACUCAUGGAGAACAGAAAUCUCCAGUGAAACAAAAGGGUAAAAGUCCCCUUGAUUUUGAUUUUCAGUGUGAAUACAAACCAUGAAAGUGUGGCCUAUUGAUCUUUUAGUCCCUCAAAAUUUGAGGCUAGAGGUGCUAGAAAAGCUACCACAGGGAUAACUGGCUUGUGGCAGCCAAGCGUUUAUAGCGACGUUGAUUUCUGAUCCUUUGAUGUUGGCUCUUCCUAUCAUACCAAAGCAGAAUUUGGUAAGCGGUGGAUUGUUCACCCACUAAUAGGGAAUGUGAGCUGGGUUUAGACCAUUGUAAGACAGGUUAGUUUUACCUGACUGAUGACCGUUGCUGCCAUGGUGGUUCAACUUAGUACAAGAGGAACCGUUGAUUCAGAUAAUUGGUUUUUGUGGCUGUCCAACCAGGCAGUACUGCAAAGCUACCAUCUGCUGGAUUAUGGCUGAACGCCUCUAAGUCAGAAUCCAUGGGGAUGUGGCAAUUCCCCCCCACACAUUGUACUCGGAUACGAGUAGGCCUCCAGGCCCUGGACCUUAGCGGGCCGGCAGCGGCACCCAGAUGGAAGUCCCAGGCGCGAGCCGGCAGAUUGCAAUUUCACCAUACAUGGGGAUAAAUCCUUUGCACAUGAUUUAACGGAGGUGCUGGGUCCUGUAAGUGGUAGAGUAGCCUUCUUGUUACAAUCCACUGAGGGUAAUCCGGAUGCCGGCUAGAUUUGU